RNAcentral lists this ribosomal RNA (439 nucleotides) under Rhysida sp. CES07159. RNAcentral's name for it is "partial 16S ribosomal RNA". It matches the Rfam family "Bacterial large subunit ribosomal RNA", at positions 1928 to 2600 of the family's 2925-position model. Lineage: Eukaryota; Metazoa; Arthropoda; Chilopoda; Scolopendromorpha; Scolopendridae. The record is from RNAcentral.
UGGCCGCGGUAUUUUGACCGUGCGAAGGUAGCAUAAUCAUUAGUCUAUUAAAUGUGGUCUGGAAUGAAAGGUCUAACAGGGGGUAGCUUUCUUAAUUUUAUUUUUGAAUUUUAAUUGUCGGUUAAAAUGCUGACGUGCUGCAGAUGGACGAGAAGACCCUAUAGAGCUUUAUAUAAAGACUAUUUUUAGUAGAAUUAUUUGUUAGUUUUUGUAUUUUGUUGGGGCGACAAUAAGUAAUAAACAUUUAUUAUAUUUAUCUUUUUUUAAGGUUUUUGAUCCAUCAUUGGUGAUUAUAGACUAAGUUACCUUAGGGAUAACAGCGUAAUUUUAUUUUAGAGUUCUUAUCGAUAAUAAAGAUUGCGACCUCGAUGUUGGAUUAGAAUUCCUUUUUGGCGCAGGAGUUAAAAAAGGCAGUCUGUUCGACUGUUAAAAUUCUACA